This 233-nucleotide signal recognition particle RNA is filed under the name Geobacter argillaceus. RNAcentral describes it as "Bacterial large signal recognition particle RNA". The stretch from base 101 to 199 matches the Rfam family "Bacterial small signal recognition particle RNA". Lineage: Bacteria; Pseudomonadati; Thermodesulfobacteriota; Desulfuromonadia; Geobacterales; Geobacteraceae. The record is from RNAcentral.
GGGAAACCGGUAUCGAGGGUUCGAAUCCCUCUCUCUCCGCCACCUUAUCGCAUAGACACCGCCCACUGGGCGGUGUCGGUCGUUUGCGGGCAGAGCUGAUAGCUGGGUCCCGCGCAACGGAAGGUUAUGAACCCCGUCAGGUCCGGAAGGAAGCAGCGGCAGUAAUCGACUCCGUGUGCCGCGGGGGUGCCCAGCUAUCAAUUGUGCCCGCAAGCACGUUCCCCUGAUUUCUC